RNAcentral lists this long non-coding RNA (1121 nucleotides) under Eucalyptus grandis. RNAcentral's name for it is "long non-coding RNA (EGRA_LNC000177)". The record is from RNAcentral. Lineage: Eukaryota; Viridiplantae; Streptophyta; Magnoliopsida; Myrtales; Myrtaceae.
ACACCGCGACGGCGGCCGAAAUCGGGCUUUCGACAACACCGGCAAGCUUGGACCGAGCCUCGACUUUGGCCCAACAAAUCUCAGCCCAAUGAGAUUUGUUCUUAUUUUUGGGCCAGACCCAAGUUGAAUUGGGCCUGCUGAAGAUGGGCUUCAAGUGCUGGUUAAAUUGGGCUUCAAUUCAAUUGAAUAUGGGCUGAACUGGAUGGGCCUGUUGCUAGUGAAAUUUCAAUUGGGCUUGAAGAUUGCAAAAUGGGCCGAGGCUUCUGGCUUCGCUGGUCUGCAGAUUUGGGCCGAAGACUGCUGAGCCCAAGACUCGUGAAUUCACGGCUUGUUCCGUGAUUUGCUGCGGCUUGCUGGAACGGAGCCAGCAGGAAGAAGCGAAGCAGUUUCGCUGGAGUCGAUGGCUGCUUUCGUGUUGCUGGCGUGCAGGCGAAGGAAAUCCUUGGAUGCGGGGUCAGCGAAGGGCUUCCAUUGGGCUCGUUCGUUGACCAGGGAGGAGUGGGCUAGACGCGUGGAGGCUUCACUGGACGCACGAAGGAGCUGCAGCUGGAACGUGAGGUCGCUGAUUCGGUCAACGAAGGCUUCAUUCGGUGGGAAUUUGACCAAGAUGGGGGCGUGCUGGCAUGGAUGAUGGAGCAGCUUCGUGGACGCCGCUGCUGCUGUGCUUUGCGGUCAACCGAGGAGUUCGCUUGCUACUGCUGUUGACUGAAGUAGACCAAGUAAUCAGCAGGUGGCAGCUCGGUGGUCGUUGGCGCACGAAGAGAGGAAGCAAACCGUGGACAGUGCGGCUCCUUCCUGCAAUGGUUGACGCUGGACUCGUGGCAAAAGAAGAAGAAGACUCGGUGAAUGGCUUCGCAUGGGGCAGCUUCGAUAAGUCUUCAACGUUGCUGGAGAAGACACGAAGUAGUGGAGCUGCACGCAGUCAACAAUCUUGCUGAGACUAACCAAAAUCUCGGUGGAUUAGUCUUCGGUGCAGCUAGCGGACGAAGGAAAAUUUUCGAAGGAAGUAGCUUGGUCUUCUUCAGUUACUGUUGGAGGUGUUGCACGAAGAAAAAGAUGGAAAGGGAAGAGAAGCAGCUCACGGCAGCAAGAUGGAGAGGAUGAGGAAGAGGUGGGGGGCC